AUGCAGUCUGCUUCCUGACGGAUAAGUGGAAUUGACCACGUGGAGGCAGAUGAAUGUAUGCGCCGACCGUCUGGGCAAAAUCG
RNAcentral lists this non-coding RNA (83 nucleotides) under Phascolarctobacterium succinatutens YIT 12067. Its description in RNAcentral is "Phascolarctobacterium sp. YIT 12067 ZMP/ZTP riboswitch aptamer (pfl RNA motif)". It matches the Rfam family "ZMP/ZTP riboswitch aptamer (pfl RNA motif)". From Rfam's summary of the family: Previously known as pfl RNA. ZMP is also known as AICAR. The record is from Rfam by way of RNAcentral. RNAcentral also lists the same sequence under 1 other name. Lineage: Bacteria; Bacillati; Bacillota; Negativicutes; Acidaminococcales; Acidaminococcaceae.